GCUGCCAACAUAUUAGCCUUGCUAGCCAGUAAACCAGUGCCCAGGAUGCCAAUAGAAGCUGCCCAUGUUACUGCAUGGGGUAUACUGAUUCGUCCUGACGGCAAUGGUCUUUUCUUGGUUCUGUUCAUCUUAGCAUCAUUUUUCACCUCAAACACCUGAUUUAAUGUGCUAGCUGAUGCCGCAACCAUCAUUGUGCCAGCACAUGUGCAGCAAAGUCCCAUGUAGUCAAUGGCACUACCACUCCCAAGGAUAUACCCAGUGCCAGAGGUUGCAACUACAAGCAUGCUUAAGCGAGCUUUAGAAAGCUCCGCAUAACACCGCCCGUAAUGCUUAGCCAUGUCCACAAUAUCCCUACCUUUCAAAACUGAUGCAGCCGCAAAAGAUGAAAGAUCGACAGCUGAAGAAGUCGGAGAUCCGGUUCGAACCCACUCCGUCGAUGAAAAUCCCACCUUUACUGUACCGGCUGCUUCAGUAGACUCCGGUCCGGAGCCGGCGGCUGUAGAAGUGGAUCUGCUGGCAACGCCAUGAUUAAGCAAAGGAAGACGACUGCAUGAAGAUUUGGAUGUGAGGAGUUUUGAAGAGAAACCCACCGAGUUCCUCCACAUGGUGCCGAGUCUUGACAAUUG
This 626-nucleotide unclassified non-coding RNA is filed under the name Hevea brasiliensis (rubber tree). The record is from RNAcentral. Lineage: Eukaryota; Viridiplantae; Streptophyta; Magnoliopsida; Malpighiales; Euphorbiaceae.